This is a long non-coding RNA of Mustela lutreola (European mink), 989 nucleotides long. RefSeq lists it as uncharacterized. The record is from RefSeq and is a predicted model, not a curated record. The transcript has 2 exons. NCBI's taxonomy places the organism in Eukaryota, Metazoa, Chordata, Mammalia, Carnivora, Mustelidae.
ACCCGCCACCUGCCUCGCUGGCGGCGGCGUGCAGGUCGCGGCGGGGGAAGGCAAGAGUAAGAGAGGGACACACCUCCGCAACGGAGGCCCAGGACCCAGGGCACUGAGAUGUGGGAGGAGUGCAGGACCGGGUCUCCGACGGGCCCCGAAACUUGGGACUUCCCCCAGGACCGUUCCCUGGGUCGCUGCCGCCGCAGACACACAAACAUGAAGAAAAAAUGUCAAGGGAUAGUCCCAGGAUAGGCAGUCAAGUCAACAAGGAACAGCUAGCAGCACCACUCCAAAGUGACCAACAAGAAUAAAAGCUAGACCCUGCACCUAAAAAGGAAGGACAUCAAAAGUGCCGGAUCAUACGUAAAUUCUGAGAAGAGGUACUAGAGAAAAAGUGGCAUAAAAUGAUGGAGGAUGUCCUGUGGAGAGGGGAAGACACCAAGCACCUGCAGUGAUGUGGAUAAAGAAAUGGAGUGGAGGCUCCAGGUAGCAACUUUCACUUGCUCCAUGAAGCCAAGGGACACACUCACAUUCUUCUUAGAUCAUAGAGAGAAGUGGGACAUCUACUUCCUCAAGGGAUUCUCAGAGGAAGUCCCAGAGACCCCAGAAAAUUUCUCAGAAACCCUAGAGAAAUUUAUGAACUCAACCAAUCUCUUCCUGAUAUUCCUGCAUUUCCAAGGGCAGCUGUUGAAUCGUAAAGCUUCCCUUUGUAAGAGUCAGACCAUGCUCAAAGAUUGGAAAAUUCAGUAUUGUGAAAAUGUCAGUCCCUCCCAAGAGAGCCCAGAAACAGGCUCACACUGUCACUUGACAUUAAAAAAAAAACAAUAAUGUGGGAGGUGGGGAAUCCUGAGGUACUAAUAAUGUAUUCUUUCUUGAUCUAGAUGCUGGUUAUGUGAGUGUGUUGAGCUUGUGAAAAUUUAAUAAGCUGUAUAUUGUAAGUACACUUCAUGUUUGCAUGUUAUACUUCAAUUAAAGGUUUAUUUUCAAUCCCUUUAUAA